RNAcentral lists this ribosomal RNA (236 nucleotides) under uncultured bacterium. Its description in RNAcentral is "partial 16S ribosomal RNA". It matches the Rfam family "Bacterial small subunit ribosomal RNA", at positions 100 to 334 of the family's 1533-position model. The record is from RNAcentral.
CGGGACGGGUGAGUAACGCGUGGGUAACCUACCCUGUACACACAGAUAACAUACCGAAAGGUAUGCUAAUACGGGAUAAUAUAUUUGAGAGGCAUCUCUUGAAUAUCGAAGGUGAGCCAGUACAGGAUGGACCCGCGUCUGAUUAGCUAGUUGGUAAGGUAACGGCUUACCAAGGCGACGAUCAGUAGCCGACCUGAGAGGGUGAUCGGCCACAUUGGAACUGAGACACGGUCCAA